Molecule: small nuclear RNA, 351 nt
Filed under: Sus scrofa (pig)
Lineage: Eukaryota; Metazoa; Chordata; Mammalia; Artiodactyla; Suidae
Description: 7SK RNA
Rfam family: 7SK RNA
About the family: 7SK was discovered as an abundant small nuclear RNA in the mid-70s but a possible function has only recently been suggested.
Source: Rfam by way of RNAcentral
GGAUGUGAGGGCGAUUUGGCUGUGACAUCUGUCACCCCAUUGAUCACUAGGGUUGACUCAGAUAUCUGGCUGGCUUGGCAGGUGUCCCCUUCCUCCCUCAUUGCUCCAUGUGCAUCCGUCCCGAAGCUGUGCACUCAGUUGAAGAGAACGACCAUACCUGAUAGAGGAGGACCAUUCUUUGGUCAAGGGUAUACAAGUUGCUGUGCUCCCCUAGUUAGAACCUCCAAACAAGCUCUUAAGGUCUGUUUUUUUUUUUUUUUUUUUUUUUGGUUUUUUUGUUUUGUUUUGUUUUGUUUUUGUUUUUUUUUUUUAGAUUCCACAUUUAAGUGAGAUCAUGUGGUAUUUGUCCUU